Molecule: long non-coding RNA, 939 nt
Organism: Ochotona princeps (American pika)
Lineage: Eukaryota; Metazoa; Chordata; Mammalia; Lagomorpha; Ochotonidae
Exons: 5
Source: RefSeq, a predicted model, not a curated record
AUUGAGAACCAAUAUUCGGAGUUAUUUUCACCCAAAAAAUCAAUUUGUUAAAUUAUUUUGUGUGAUUUGUAGUAUUGUUAAAAGUAUGUUUGUAUUUUUGUCAGCUUACAGUUGUUGUGAUUUAAUGUUUCUCCCUUGACAUAUUACUUGAUGAGGAUGUCUUUUAAAGAGUACACUUCCAGACGUAAAUUCUGCUUUUUCCAAGGUGGAUAUUACUGUCUCUUCUGAUGGAAAAAGUCUUAAUUCCAAAUUUUAUUUCUCAUUUGAGUAUUAUAAAAAGGGAGAAAAGUGGUGCCUUAAUUUUUUAAGUUAUAUUUGGUUCUAGUAAGUAUUUAAAUAUAUCAGUUGCAGAAUAUCUAAGAGAAGAAAUGAGACCAUAGUUACUACAUUCCCAUACACUAAAAUUUUCUGUUCUUUAUCAAAGUAAAACUUUUGUUUUGUUACCAUUAGUUUGAGCCUUUUUAAUGAAGGUAUUAAAUCCUCCAUCAGAAAUGUCAUGGUUUAUGUUUUUGUUUAGAAAAUAGAUACCAGGUACUUCUGAUUUUUUUUUCUUUUUCAAGGAUAUAUGAAACAAAUAUAUUGGCAGAAUAAAAGCUUAAACUUUUUACAUUAAAAGUACUAUGUAAGGUAUUCUGUGGUGGUCAUGUUCAUUACCAAGAAAACAUGCAUUUGGAAAAUGUUUAAGGAACACUGAGAUGUGUGCAUAUGUUCUUGCUCUUAUUUGUCGUCCACACAUGUAGAUGUGAAUCAGCUCUUCCUUGAGAUAACUGCCGCAGCCCAAGCAUCCAGAGUAAGUCUACACAACUUAUGGUCCUAUUUGAGUGCACUCAUUGCUAAUCACAGAAAAUAAGAGUAUUCAGAUUGCCUGAAGACCUUCUAGAACAAGAUAUGAAUUUUGGCACCAUUGCUGUUCCCCUCAAAAAAAAAAAAUAAAUAAAA